CGCACAAUGGGCGCAAGCCUGAUGCAGCCAUGGCCGCGUGUAUGAAGAAGGCCUUCGGGUUGUAAAGUACUUUCAGCAGUGAGGAAGGUGGGUAUGUUAAUAGCAUACUCAUUUGACGUUAGCUGCAGAAGAAGCACCGGCUAACUCCCGUGCCAGCAGCCGCGGUAAUACGAGGGUGCGAGCGUUAAUCGGAAUUACUGGGCGUAAAGCGCAUGCAGGUGGUUUGUUAAGUCAGAUGUGAAAGCCCGGGGCUCAACCUCGGAAUUGCAUUUGAAACUGGCAAACUAGAGUACUGUAGAGGGGGUAGAAUUUCAGGUGUAGCGGUGAAAUGCGUAGAGAUCUGAAGGAAUACCGGUGGCGAAGGCGGCCCCCUGGACAGAUACUGACACUCAGAUGCGAAAGCGUGGGGAGCAAACAGGAUUAGAUACCCUGGUAG
RNAcentral lists this ribosomal RNA (436 nucleotides) under uncultured bacterium. Its description in RNAcentral is "bacterial SSU rRNA". It matches the Rfam family "Bacterial small subunit ribosomal RNA", at positions 365 to 793 of the family's 1533-position model. The record is from RNAcentral.